Long non-coding RNA from Oncorhynchus gorbuscha (pink salmon), 987 nucleotides. RefSeq lists it as uncharacterized. The transcript has 4 exons. The record is from RefSeq and is a predicted model, not a curated record. NCBI's taxonomy places the organism in Eukaryota, Metazoa, Chordata, Actinopteri, Salmoniformes, Salmonidae.
GACCCUGGAGACAGACAUGGCACCUGUGUUUAUUUCUCUGAUGUAUUGCCUGUUGAUUAAAGUCUUUCCUGAUGUAGAUAUGUGUAUUUAUGAACACAGUUGUGUCGAUGGAGGCUAUUCUUCAUGAUAUAAGAUAGCCAAGGUGACAUACUGUUUUUGAAGAUGCAGCUCGUCUCCAUUGUAAUACUGUGUAUGUAUGUAGCCACAUCAUUUCCAGAUUAAACUACUGUGUGGAGAACCAUCAGUGGCAGGUGUCUAUACUGCCCUCUCUUGGGACAGAUUAAUAGAUCAUACUGUGCCAUUAUAAUUCCCACUGUCGUUGUUAAUCAGAAUGUCUGUCUACAUCCAUGAUAUACCAGUUUUUUAAAUACAAUAACUACCCAGUCAUCAGUUUUUCAGAUUUAAGAUCGUUCUAUUUUCCUGCAGCAGCUUUUAAUUCGGGUUGUAAUUCUUGAAGAUGUCUGUUUUGCUUUGUGGUGCCCUGCAAACAUAACAUAUUUCUCCUGCACCUCCUUGAGGUUGGGGUUAGUGUCCUUCGGGACGUUUUAAAAUAUAAUUUCCCUCCAACUGGUUUGACCUGUGAUGUUGAGACGUCUCCGCAGCGACAGGACGGAGGGAACAGACACGUUGCAUAUCCUGUUUCUGUGCGUCAGUUCAGUUGGUGCUGCUAACGUGACCUGGAAACUCACUGCUGGACAACAUGACUUCCUGACAGCUUCGUUCAACGGCUGCGUGUAACAGAACAACCGGAACAGAACAGAGCUGAAGAUUAGAUGGACAGGUUUGCAGGUGACAUACUGAGCGGUGGCCGGGCGUUGCUAGGCGAGGACAGCUCGGUCAUGGCCCGCAUGCAGAAGAAGUUUUGGAAGACGAAGCAGGUUCUGAUCAAGGCCACAGGGAAGAAGGAGGAUGAGUACGUGGUGGCUUCUGAUGCCGACCUCGACGCCAAGCUGGAGUUGUUCCACUCGGUACAGACCACCUCCACUG